Molecule: ribosomal RNA, 80 nt
Filed under: Pelodiscus sinensis (Chinese soft-shelled turtle)
Lineage: Eukaryota; Metazoa; Chordata; Testudines; Trionychidae
Source: RNAcentral
UCUGUCCUCCUUAGCUAAGCAGCGCUGGGCCUAGUCAGUACCUGGAUGGGAAACCACCAGAGAAAAAGUGGCUGACAGAA